Molecule: ribosomal RNA, 493 nt
Filed under: uncultured bacterium
Lineage: Bacteria
Description: partial 16S ribosomal RNA
Rfam family: Bacterial small subunit ribosomal RNA
Source: RNAcentral
AUUGAACGCUGGCGGCAUGCUUUACACAUGCAAGUCGAACGGUAACAGGUUAAGCUGACGAGUGGCGAACGGGUGAGUAAUGCAUCGGAACGUGCCCGGUCGUGGGGGAUAACGCAGCGAAAGCUGCGCUAAUACCGCAUACGAUCUGAGGAUGAAAGCGGGGGACCGUAAGGCCUCGCGCGAUCGGAGCGGCCGAUGUCAGAUUAGGUAGUUGGUGGGGUAAAGGCUCACCAAGCCAACGAUCUGUAGCUGGUCUGAGAGGACGACCAGCCACACGGGGACUGAGACACGGCCCAGACUCCUACGGGAGGAAGCAGUGGGGAAUUUUGGACAAUGGGCGAAAGCCUGAUCCAGCAAUGCCGCGUGCAGGAAGAAGGCCUUCGGGUUGUAAACUGCUUUUGUACGGAGCGAAAAGGUCUCCUCUAAUAUAGGGGGCUCAUGACGGUACCGUAAGAAUAAGCACCGGCUAACUACGUGCCAGCCGCCGCAGUAA